RNAcentral lists this ribosomal RNA (510 nucleotides) under Chlorophyceae sp. PhH9. RNAcentral's name for it is "partial small subunit ribosomal RNA". It matches the Rfam family "Eukaryotic small subunit ribosomal RNA", at positions 614 to 1136 of the family's 1831-position model. The record is from RNAcentral. Lineage: Eukaryota; Viridiplantae; Chlorophyta; Chlorophyceae.
UCUCGUUAAGCUCGUAGUUGGAUUUCGGGUGGGGUCCGCGGUCCGCCUAUGGUGAGUACUGCUGUGGCCUUCCUUACUGUCCGGGACCUGCUUUCGGGCUUCAUUGUCCGGGACACGGAUUCGGCAUGGUUACUUUGAGUAAAUUGGAGUGUUCAAAGCAGGCUUACGCCGUGAACAUUUUAGCAUGGAAUAACAUGAUAGGACUCUGCCCUAUUCUGUUGGCCUGUAGGAGUGGAGUAAUGAUUAAAAGGAACAGUCGGGGGCAUUCGUAUUUCUUUGUCACAGGUGAAAUUCUUGGAUUUUUGAAAAACAAACUACUGCGCAAAAGUUUUUGCAGGAUGUUUUUUCUUUAAUCAAAAAAAAAUUGGGGGCUCUCAAACAAUAAUAUACCCCGUCAUACUCUCCCAUAUAAAAUGCCCACAAGGGAUUGCCGGACAUUUUUCUUUGACUACUCCACCACCUUCUUAGAAAAAAAAGUUUUUGGGUUCUUGGGGGAGUAUGGUCAUCAAA